This 443-nucleotide ribosomal RNA is filed under the name uncultured bacterium. RNAcentral describes it as "partial 16S ribosomal RNA". It matches the Rfam family "Bacterial small subunit ribosomal RNA", at positions 338 to 795 of the family's 1533-position model. The record is from RNAcentral.
CCUACGGGAGGCAGCAGUGGGGAAUAUUGGGCAAUGGGCGCAAGCCUGACCCAGCAACGCCGCGUGAAGGAAGAAGGCUUUCGGGUUGUAAACUUCUUUUCUGAGGGACGAAGAAAGUGACGGUACCUCAGGAAUAAGCCACGGCUAACUACGUGCAAGCAGCCGCGGUAAUACGGAGGUGGCAAGCGUUAUCCGGAGUUAUUGGGUGGAAAGGGCGUGUAGGCGGGAAAGCAAGUCAGAUGUGAAAACUCAGGGCUCAACCCUGUGCCUGCAUUUGAAACUGUUUUUGUUGAGUGGUGGAGAGGCAAUCGGAAUUCCGUGUGUAGCGGUGAAAUGCGUAGAUAUACGGAGGAACACCAGUGGCGAAGGCGGAUUGCUGGACAGUAACUGACGCUGAGGCGCGAAAGCGUGGGGAGCAAACAGGAUUAGAUACCCGAGUAGUC